GACGAACGCUGGCGGCGUGCCUAAUACAUGCAAGUAGAACGCUGAAGGAGGAGCUUGCUUCUCUGGAUGAGUUGCGAACGGGUGAGUAACGCGUAGGUAACCUGCCUGGUAGCGGGGGAUAACUAUUGGAAACGAUAGCUAAUACCGCAUAAGAGUAGAUGUUGCAUGACAUUUGCUUAAAAGGUGCAAUUGCAUCACUACCAGAUGGACCUGCGUUGGAUUAGCUAGUUGGUGGGGUAACGGCUCACCAAGGCGACGAUACAUAGCCGACCUGAGAGGGGGAUCGGCCACACUGGGACUGAGACACGGCCCAGACUCCUACGGGAAGCAGCAAUAGGGAAUCUUCGGCAAUGGACGGAAGUCUGACCGAGCAACGCCGCGUGAGUGAAGAAGGUUUUCGGAUCGUAAAGCUCUGUUGUAAGGGAAGAACGAGUGUGAGAGUGGAAAGUUCACACUGUGACGGUAUCUUACCAGAAAGGGACGGCUAACUACGUG
This 495-nucleotide ribosomal RNA is filed under the name uncultured bacterium. RNAcentral describes it as "partial 16S ribosomal RNA". It matches the Rfam family "Bacterial small subunit ribosomal RNA", at positions 28 to 507 of the family's 1533-position model. The record is from RNAcentral.